This is a ribosomal RNA of 540 nucleotides. It matches the Rfam family "Eukaryotic large subunit ribosomal RNA", at positions 664 to 1139 of the family's 3401-position model.
GACCAAGGAGUCCGACCCGUGCGCGAGUCGUCGGGUCUUGUACAGGCCCUGUGGCGUAGCGAAAGCGAAGCCGAGACAUUCUCUUUAAUAGAGAGGAUAGCAUCGGCGACCCGGCGGUUAUGUCGGUGGUCUGGCGGGAAAUUUUUUUUCCAAAAGCACGACACGUCGGAGUCUGAGCGCACGAGUCGGUACCCGAAAGAUGGUGAACUAUGCCUGGCCAGGGCGAAGCCGGAGGAAACUCCGGUGGAGGCCCGAAGCGGUUCUGACGUGCAAAUCGAUCGUCGGAGCGUGGUAUAGGGGCGAAAGACUAAUCGAACCAUCUAGUAGCUGGUUCCCUCCGAAGUUUCCCUCAGGAUAGCUGGCAUUCGGGAAGACUUCAGUCUCUCCUCGUAGAGAGAAUGAAUAGAGGCCCUGGGGCCCUAGACGACCUCAACCUAUUAUCAAACUACUACGAGGUGCGUCGGUCGUAAAAAAAAAUUCCUGCCUUUUGGAGGUACGACGGUUUCUUUGGAUGUACGAGUGCCGUGUGGGCCACUUUUG